This 273-nucleotide long non-coding RNA is filed under the name Salmo salar (Atlantic salmon). RNAcentral describes it as "lncRNA (ENSSSAG00000085605.1, ENSSSAG00020081954.1, ENSSSAG00075040626.1)". Lineage: Eukaryota; Metazoa; Chordata; Actinopteri; Salmoniformes; Salmonidae. The record is from RNAcentral.
GUCAACUCAAAAGUGCAUGAGUAGUUGCCCAACAGUCACCUUUGCUCGCUAUAUGUUUAUUAAGUGAUGAUAUUGAUUUCAUUCACAGGCUAUGUACAAAACCUGCUGGAUUUAUUGUUCAGCAGUGUGGUGGGAACCCCCCUACCAUACCUGGAGCUGUUACAGAAGGCUGAGGCAGUGGCCAGACACCAGAGUAAUGGAGGACACUUCAAUCAGUGUUCAGCCCUGCCCAGCUCACUCUCUUCGCCUUGCACUCGCCCCAGAAAAGAGAGG